This 445-nucleotide ribosomal RNA is filed under the name uncultured bacterium. RNAcentral's name for it is "bacterial SSU rRNA". It matches the Rfam family "Bacterial small subunit ribosomal RNA", at positions 28 to 507 of the family's 1533-position model. The record is from RNAcentral.
GAUGAACGCUGGCGGCGUGCUUAAGACAUGCAAGUCGAACGGUAACAGACCUUCGGGUGCUGACGAGUGGCGGACGGGUGAGUAACACGUGGGAAUCUACCUUGUAGUGGGGGAUAAGCCAGGGAAACUUGGACUAAUACCGCAUACGCCCUAAGGGGGAAAGGAGCAAUUCGCUAUAAGAUGAGCCCGCGUCUGAUUAGCUAGUUGGUGAGGUAAAGGCUCACCAAGGCGACGAUCAGUAGCUGGUCUGAGAGGAUGACCAGCCACAUUGGGACUGAGACACGGCCCAGACUCCUACGGGAGGCAGCAGUCGGGAAUAUUGGACAAUGGGGGCAACCCUGAUCCAGCAAUACCGCGUGUGUGAAGAAGGCCUGCGGGUUGUAAAGCACUUUUAGUAGGGAAGAUAAUGACGUUACCUACAGAAAAAGCACCGGCUAACUCCGUG